RNAcentral lists this ribosomal RNA (312 nucleotides) under Triticum aestivum (bread wheat). RNAcentral's name for it is "partial small subunit ribosomal RNA". The record is from RNAcentral. Lineage: Eukaryota; Viridiplantae; Streptophyta; Magnoliopsida; Poales; Poaceae.
AUGGAAGCAAAAGCAGAGCAAAUAACUAAUUAUCACUUAUUAAACUAUUACAAAGUUGAUUCCAGCAAACAAAUUGCAAAUACAAGCAUACUUAAAAAUAAUAAUAACAAUGCACUUCUCUUUUCGGAGCACACACCGAUCCACUUUUCUCCUUUUCUACAAGUUGGAGGACAUGAUGACCGCACCGUCACGUCCAUAUCUUCUAGCUACGGUCCGGUAACUCCCGUUGUUGUCCCCCUUACCUCCUGUCACUGCCUCCCUUUUUGUCCUCAUGUUGAAAUUCUCAAUGCCAAGCACUGGCUAGCUCAAUAA